CAAUGUCCAGUCCUUAUUGCAGUGUGCUGGCUUGUGUACGUUAAUGCUACUGAGAGCUACAUACUGGCGGAAUGCAAGCUCCAGGUAGGACCACGCAUGCUGAAAGGACAAAGGAUAGAGGCUAGACUAAUAUGGACCACUUCUUCUUAGAGAUAAAAAUGGGAUUGCAUAGGGCCAACACCCCCAUCUAGAAAUAGAGGUAGUUAACGAAACAUUGAUGACAAUUAAAAACCACAAAAAAAAAAAAUAGGAGAGGAAGGCCUUUCCUAAGAGAAAUGAGGUGUAGCAUAAUCUGAAAGGAAGCUACAGGACCGACUCCCGUUCUGACCACCAGUAGAAAAUCCCAAAAUUAACCAACAAGGGAAGCGGAAGGAAAUAACUAGGAAUGGGAUCUUGAGACAGAGCUGAAAGAGCGGGGAUCCAAUUAGGCAGAAGAAAAGACAGCCCAGAGAGAAAUACAUAACAUUCUUCCAGCGAAGUGGUAAAUAUGCAAUCUCGAUAUUGGACAUGCAUGACAACAAUAUCAACAUCCAAACAGUAAAACAUUUAUAUAUAAAUCUAUACACACCUAUUCCUGUUUUCAUCUUCAACAUCAGGCGAUGACGAUGUUCCAGCUUCGCUCAUGUUUGAUUGUUUAUAAAUUUUUCGCAAAUAUUUUUAGGGGUGGAAUUGAACAAAACAAAAUAACAAAUAACAAUCUAAGCUGCCUUCUUUUGGUAAACCUCACCAGUUUUACCGCAAGUUUUCUUUGUUAAAUAAAUGAUUCCGUCUCUUGUUCGGCCAGCAAUUUCUGUAUUUAUAUCCGAUCGGAUGAGAAGAUGUUAAUGUGAUGGUUGUAUGAAUUAAACACGCACUGACUAGUAAGAAGGAGUAGCAACAAAGCUAGCAAUAUACAUUUCAACCGUCACUCCACACCCUCCUCUUCCUCCGCCUCCUCUUUAUUGUUGCUCUUCGCAUGGGACACGCGGCGCCCCCUGGUGUCUUCCUACAACACUAACUAAACAACCGCGCCGUUAUUUAUUUAAAUCAUUUUAAAGUUA
Molecule: long non-coding RNA, 1040 nt
Organism: Octopus sinensis (East Asian common octopus)
Lineage: Eukaryota; Metazoa; Mollusca; Cephalopoda; Octopoda; Octopodidae
Exons: 2
Source: RefSeq, a predicted model, not a curated record